GGGGGUCUCCUGGGUCUAACACAGUGAAUGUCAGACGGUCAGAGUUCUGUGGAGUGAAGGUUUUUGUAGGAUGAGAGGGAAGUCGAAAAUAAGCAAGGCGAACGAAUGCGGGACGGGGGCAGGAACGCCAGAUCCUUAACCCACUGAGCGAGGCCAGGGAUCAAAGCGCAACCUCAUGUUACUAUUCCGAUUCGAUUCUGCUGCGCCAAAAGGGGAACUCCAGAGAAGUUGCAUUUUUAAAAAUGUUAACACUUGCUUUACUUACAGCUUCUGGGUUAGAUGUCCUGAUUAAAAUGGCUCCUACUAACAACUUGCUUUACAUUUCUAUUUGUAACCGACAUUUGCACUUCCUUUAACACUAUUACUUACCAUCUGGCACCCGCUUUCCAAGGUGAAUUCUCCUGCAGGACCGCAGGGGCCGAGUGCCCCUUGCCCUCUGCCUCCUGGAAGUCUUGCGCGUCCGGAGAGCGGGGGAGGUUAGCCGCGGGCAGUUUUUUUUUUUUUGCGCAGUGGCAAAGGGGCUUAUUGGCAGCUGAAAUAGAAGUAGGUUUGGUCCCUGGGGUGCUCGCGCGUCCCAGGGUUGCUGUCAGUGGCGGUGGUGGGGCUCUGCGGCCACACUUACUGGAUCUUGGCCAGACGCGUAAUUCCCCCCAGAGCCACGUGGGCUCUUUGCCCACAUGGGGGAGAGUUUACUUUCCAGGGAGACUGGCGUGUGCUUCUGUGGAGUUUUUAAGGUGUGGAGGCCAAGGGUUCUGUAGCACGAAGUUUUGUAGCGAGGCUUCCUGUCUGCCUGGAAAAUCACCACCUCUUUCUCUUUUUUUUAAUGUGGCCGCGCCCUGGCUGGCGGAAGUUCUGGGGUCAGGGAUCGAACUGGCGCCAAAGCAGCGACCCAAGCCGCAGCAGUGACAAUGCCGGAUCUUUAACCCGCUGCGCGACUCCGCCACCGCCUCUUCGCUUUUGUGAUUUUCUCCUCCAGUUCCUCCUCCUAUCCAGGGUAUUCAAACUCUGGUUUUCAGGGGCCUCAGGUCCAACCGGCUCCGGCAAGGGUGGGUGCGGCUCCGGGCAAGAUCCUGCGAGAAGAGCCCGCGGCUGUCCGGGCGUGAGUAGACCGUGAACGCUGCCCUCUCCUCCGGAGCUGAGCCUUCCGGCGGGCUCCGCCCUCGGCUGCGGAAGCUUAGCGCUGUCCCCUGAUCCCGGCAGAAAAGGAUUGAGUCUCAAGUUUUCGGGCCCGUCUUUGAGCCUCUUUGGGUCUCAUCUCCAGCACUCCAAGUCUCCAGGCGUCUGUCGCUUUUAACAGUCUCAGGGGUGGAUUCUGUUUGCUCCUUUCUUCCUUGCAGGGUCCCAAAGGCUAAUUAAACUCGUGUUUAUGGA
RNAcentral lists this long non-coding RNA (1371 nucleotides) under Sus scrofa (pig). RNAcentral describes it as "lncRNA (ENSSSCG00015058166.1)". The record is from RNAcentral. Lineage: Eukaryota; Metazoa; Chordata; Mammalia; Artiodactyla; Suidae.